Molecule: ribosomal RNA, 111 nt
Filed under: Clostridioides difficile
Lineage: Bacteria; Bacillati; Bacillota; Clostridia; Peptostreptococcales; Peptostreptococcaceae
Description: partial 23S ribosomal RNA
Rfam family: Bacterial large subunit ribosomal RNA
Source: RNAcentral
GCAAGGGUAAGACCCCAGAAAGACUAUCUGGUUGAUAGGUCGAAGGUGUAAGUGCAGCCAUGUAUUUAGCUUAUCGAUACUAAUAGGUCGAGGACUUGACCAAUAUUUAUU